UUGGCCAAGGACUUUGUGUGCCUCAUGCUCUGCCAGGGAGGAGGGGAAGCUGGGAGGAAGCAGAGACAGGACACCUGACUCAAGCUAGCCAAAGAGGUAUUCCAUACCAUAGCACGUCAUGCCCAGGAUGUAACUGGGAGUUACCCGGAAGGGCUGGGACUGCGGGGUUGAACGAGGUAUUGGUCGGUGCUUGGUUGGAUGGAGUGGGGCGAGUUACCGGUCAUCUGGUGCUGAAGUGUUGUAUUCUAUUCUCUUGUUAUUUCCUUUAUCAUUAUUAUUAUUGGUGGUAGCAGUAGUGAUUUGUGUUAUCUUUUAGUUACUAAACUGUUCUUAUCUCAA
Pezoporus occidentalis (night parrot) is the source of this 339-nucleotide long non-coding RNA. RefSeq lists it as uncharacterized. The transcript is spliced from 2 exons. The record is from RefSeq and is a predicted model, not a curated record. NCBI's taxonomy places the organism in Eukaryota, Metazoa, Chordata, Aves, Psittaciformes, Psittacidae.